RNAcentral lists this transfer RNA (77 nucleotides) under Candidatus Borkfalkia excrementavium. RNAcentral's name for it is "tRNA-Met". It matches the Rfam family "tRNA". From Rfam's summary of the family: Transfer RNA (tRNA) molecules are approximately 80 nucleotides in length. Their secondary structure includes four short double-helical elements and three loops (D, anti-codon, and T loops). The record is from RNAcentral. RNAcentral also lists the same sequence under 5 other names. Lineage: Bacteria; Bacillati; Bacillota; Clostridia; Christensenellales; Christensenellaceae.
GGCGGCGUAGCUUAGUUGGUUAUAGCGAUCGGUUCAUACCCGAUAGGUCGUAGGUUCGAAUCCCACCGCCGCUACCA